This 539-nucleotide ribosomal RNA is filed under the name uncultured Thermomonas sp. Its description in RNAcentral is "bacterial SSU rRNA". It matches the Rfam family "Bacterial small subunit ribosomal RNA", at positions 84 to 619 of the family's 1533-position model. The record is from RNAcentral. Lineage: Bacteria; Pseudomonadati; Pseudomonadota; Gammaproteobacteria; Lysobacterales; Lysobacteraceae.
GUGGGUGGCGAGUGGCGGACGGGUGAGGAAUACAUGGGAAUCUGCCCAGUCGUGGGGGAUAACGUAGGGAAACUUACGCUAAUACCGCAUGCGCCCUUCGGGGGAAAGCCGGGGACCUUCGGGCCUGGCGCGAUUGGAUGAGCCCAUGUCGGAUUAGCUAGUUGGUGGGGUAAAGGCCCACCAAGGCGACGAUCCGUAGCUGGUCUGAGAGGAUGAUCAGCCACACUGGAACUGAGACACGGUCCAGACUCCUACGGGAGGCAGCAGUAGGGAAUAUUGGACAAUGGGCGCAAGCCUGAUCCAGCCAUGCCGCGUGUGUGAAGAAGGCCUUCGGGUUGUAAAGCACUUUUAUCCGGAAAGAAAAGCGCUGGGUUAAUACCCUGGUGUCCUGACGGUACCGGAAGAAUAAGCACCGGCUAACUUCGUGCCAGCAGCCGCGGUAAUACGAAGGGUGCAAGCGUUACUCGGAAUUACUGGGCGUAAAGCGUGCGUAGGUGGUUUGUUAAGUCUGAUGUGAAAGCCCUGGGCUCAACCUGGGA